CAGAGGUCCCGAGCGUUGUUCGGAUUCACUGGGCGUAAAGGGUGCGCAGGUGGCAUGGCAAGUUUGGUGUGAAAGCUUCGGGCUUAACCCGGAAAUGGCAUUGAAAACUGCUGUGCUGGAGGAUCGGAGGGGGGACUGGAAUUCUUGGUGUAGCAGUGAAAUGCGUAGAUAUCAAGAGGAACACCAGUGGCGAAGGCGAGUCCCUGGACGAUACCUGACACUGAGGCACGAAAGCCAAGGGAGCAAACAGGAUUAGAUACCCUGGUAGUCUUGGCUGUAAACGGUGCGUAUUUGCUGUAAACGGAAUCGACCCCGUUUGUGGCGUAGCUAACGCGAUAAAUACGCCGCCUGGGAAGUACGGUCGCAAGAUUA
RNAcentral lists this ribosomal RNA (372 nucleotides) under uncultured organism. Its description in RNAcentral is "bacterial SSU rRNA". It matches the Rfam family "Bacterial small subunit ribosomal RNA", at positions 526 to 896 of the family's 1533-position model. The record is from RNAcentral.